AUUUUAGUAGUAGGGGAAAAGAAAACUCAAACAUUCCUUCCCUCCGGGGCGAAAUGAGAUCCGCCGCUCCACCGUGCCCACUUCCCAACCCAAACCCCGAUGCGUCCCCACCUCCGGCGCCGAUGACACCGCGCGCCCCGCAGCUUCGGCACCAGCCGCCGCACCUCGUCCUCUCCGAGGCCGUCGCCUCCUGGCACCCCUUCAACAAGAAGCCCUGUCUCUCGGACCGCUCCACCGCUCCCCCCUCCUCGGCCCGCCUCCCUGAUGCGGAGACUCCGACGCCUGCCCCCUCGGGGGGCGGUAGCGGCGGAUCCUUCCGCUGGUUCGGGCUCCGCAAGCGCCGCCGCCGCGGUGCGGGCUCGCGGUCCGUCUCCGGCCGCAGCAGCGACCGCCGUAGAUCCGGCACUUGCUCCGACUUCCAUUUCACGUGCGGCGCCGGUGGCGGCGGCGCCACUGACUCCAGCGGGGAGAUGUGGGCGUCGGAUGUCGGGGAGAUGCGGAUGAGGGACGUGCCGAUGGCGACGGAGUUCGGCCCAGCGCCCGUUGGUGGGGUUGGUGCCGGGAGCGGUGGCGGCGCUGCAGCGGAGGCAGCGGCCGCCGAUUCUGGGUACGGGAGCGAACCUGGGUACCGUGGCGACGUUGAGCUGGGUUACGGAGAUGAGAUCGACGAAGAGGAAGAGGAUGGGAAGCAGCAGCUGUUCUGGGGCGGGGUGAUUGGAGGUGAUAAGCGUCCUUGAAUUCAAUUCUUUGGAUAGUCACUGCUUUUAAGCUUUUGGCACUGUUGGCAGCAUUACUUUGUGCACUUUGAUUUAGAAUAUGUUUGUUGGAACAGCUUCGUUUGAUAACUUUGUAGAUUGAGAUUCUGGUGUCGAUGGAUAUUUCUUGUUUGGGAUCAAAUAAUUCUAGGUCAUUGAGCUCAUCUGUUCUUGGUUCCAGUAAUGUGACGUUAGUCUCGCUCGUUGGUGGUGAUGUCUGACCAUAAAUAUUUGCUGUGGAUUAGUUGAGUCAACAGUUUUUAGGGGAGAUGCAUUUGUUUACCCAAUAGAAUAUGCUUGUAGUUGUAUGUCUGACAAAAUGACCAUGCCUGAUUAAUAUUCCUUUAUACUCCUGAUCAAAAACAUAUUUUUUAUAAUAAGAUCACAAAUAUUUUUUUUCCAUGGCAUUGAUGUGACCUACAAGAUGGAACUUUAACUAGAAAUAUCUAUAAAAAUAGUGUUUCGAAUAUAAAUAGUUACUCCCUCUGUCCUGGAAUGAGAAGCGUAUUUUGAUCAGAGAAAAAUUGUACAAAAUUGAUUUGCCCUUAAUUUCUCUUCCAAGAUGUUGUCAUUUGCUAAAUAAUCAAUAUCAUUUCAGAGGCACUUUGAAUGCAAAUAUAAAAAAGCAAGUUUCAUGUCCUAAACUUGUAUAUAACUUGACUAAGUGUUGGUUGAAGUUUGUAAAAUUUCACUUUUCCCUUUACAAAAUAUGCUUAUCAUUCUGGGACGGAGUAUAUAUAUUAUGGGAGUAUUUUUUUUUUCAUGUAGUAAUAGCAAUGUUAUUUUGUCAAUCUAUAUGAUUUUUAGCUACAAAUAGUCAAAGCUAAAAACACUUGACAUGGGUCAAGCCUAAAAUGAUUUAUAUUUACGAUAAAGUAUAGUGUUACCUGAGAUAAUUUGGUCUGGUGUGGGGCAUGCUUUCUAUAUGCAUGUCAGUACAUGUAUAGUAUCUCUAUACUUCUUUUAUGUUCCACCUAUUUUUGAUUUGUAUUGACAUCUGUGAGCUUCAGAUUGGACUAAUGUAAACAAAACAAUGAAUUCCCAAAAAUAUUUUUUUGUUUAGGUUGGCGUGUACAUGGUAUGUUCUUAACAUGCACAUUUUGAUCCCUUCCCCUCAAAAUAUCUGAGACUGAUCCUGUGGUACUGCAAUUUUAAUCAGGCCAAAGCUGACCCAGUUUGAAACUGGUAGCACGGACACUCCUAAUGGAUUUAAUGGUUUAUGCAAUCUGACCAAAUACUCCGUUGUUGUAAUCCAGUGAUGUGGUUCUGGUUCAUUUUGAUAUGUAUUUCUUAUGUUAGGCGCCUUUUUGUUGAUACAUUUUGCCGAUGUUUCCAUUUGUUUCAAGAUUUAGCUUCGAUAUGCUUGAAAUCUCAUCUACAUUUGAAUUUUCGACAUAUCUCAUCUACUAUUUUUUUGCAAGUAACAUGUAGCGAGCUGCCUUAGGGUAAGUGUUGUGGGUGAUGGAGGGCCAGCCCACCUGCUUCUCAUGGCAAGGGAUAAGGAUUAGGAAAGAGAUUAGAUUAGAUUAUGUUACUUCCUUAUUUCUAAAGAUUAGUUUCUUAGGGGUCAAGUAUUCUCUCAUCUAUAAAAGGAUGGAAUAGUGUCUUCUUUCAAUCAUGCAGUGAAGAAGAAUUAAUCCAAUUCCCCAAAAUUACUCUAGUCUCUCUCCAUGCCGACUUUGCCCGGCCAUCUUCCUGGCAAUGGUUAUCCCCAAAUGAUCUAAGGAUCAUAACAUCUGGUAUCAGAUUGCUUGGUUUCGAUCCAAUUCCAUGGCUUCUGCUACCGAUGGUUUCUGUGCCCUCACUGAGGGAGCCAUCACAUCUCGGAGGACUUCCAUCAUGUCUCCGCACUGGUCUUCUGUCUCCUCAAUUGGAAUGACGCGAAGAUGGAGCGUGAGCCGGGCAGCAGUAUGCCUACAGGCAGCAGCCCAUGGACUCCUGGCACGCCGGCUGGUGCAGUCUCUCCGUGGGGAGCAGCGUCUGGCUGUCUGCCCUAGAGCCCUCACGUGGCCAUCAUUAGAGGAGCAGGCAGCGGUGCGCCUGCAGGCAGCAGGGCGAGGUUUUCAUGCCCGGUGGAUGGUGCAGAACUGCAGAUGAUGUGCGUGCCAUUCAGCCGGGCGCCAUGGUGAAUCGCAGCCUGCAUAGCGAUCAACCAGCGCAAUGCAAUGGCAAGCACCAAGGGUGCUCAAUCUUUGUCAAGAAUUGCGGAUUGCGGCGGCCGUCUCGUCUGUUCUGGCACCCACCUUGGUUUUGUUGGGCAGGCCUGGCGUACUAGUGGGCUGCUACAUCCUCCACUCCUCAGCCCACAUGAAGCCAACUGUUGGGCUAUUCCCAUGGGAUCCAGGAGGAAUGAUGUUGUCUGAUGAACUCCUGGUGUGGCGGUCUGUAGUGCGGGGGAUGACCAUGUUGCACCUCAAUGGAACCAGUAGCACCAAAGGUUGCAACUCUGCCCUCCAACACUUAGGAGCCGGAAACGCGUAACGUGGCUACGUUCCUCAUUCCGGGAACGUCGUUCUGAGAACAUCCACGUUCCCGAUUCGGGAACAUUUUAUGAUCCCACGUUGUAGAAUAACACCCCAACCCGUUCUUGUUCCACGUUCCCGUUCCCUUGUGGGAACAUGGCCGCUAACCUCCAACAGUUGGAGCACCAUCAGUCCAUCACCAUGGAAGCCGCUUUGGUGUUCUACCUCCUUGUGCCUCAGGAUGGUGUUCACCAUUGAUUGGGGACACGACACCUAUAAAGAGUCCAACUUUAUUUCGUGUUUUAGUUUCAAAUAACAAAACUAAGCCGAGAUGCAAAAGGCUUAGCCAUGAGUCGAGUCCUCCUAAUGAAGGUCUGCAGCAGCUCGUGGGUGAGCUGCUCAUAAUGGGGGGAGAAGUGUUAUGGGUGGCCAGAGGGUCAGUCCACCUGCCUCUCAUGGCAAGGGAUAAGGAUUAGGAAAGAUAUUAGAUUAGAUCAGGUUAUUUCCUUAUUUCUAAAGAUUAGUUUCUUAGGGAUCAAGUCUCCUCUCAAUCUCUCAUCUAUAUUAGAAUGGGAUGGUGUCUCCUUUCAAUCAGGCAAUGAAGAAGACUUAAUCCAAUUCCCCCAAAUUACUCUAGUCUCCCUCCACGCCGACUUCGCCCGGUCAUCUUCUUGGCAAUGGUUAUCUCCAAAUGAUCUAAGGAUCAUAACAAUAUGAAUAAAAUGAAAAUCAAUGGUGACAAUAACUUUGGGGAGCAGAAGAGCCAUCACCGUUGCAGGCGCAAGAAGCAUGAUGUGAGGAUGUUGGAUUCCUUGAGCUGAAGAAUUAUGUAGGGAGCAGAAGAGCCAUCCACCGAUGCAGGCGCAAGAAUGUGAGGAUGUUGGAUUCCUUCAGUUGAAUUAUGUAGUGCUAGAAGUGGUGAAGCGUCUAUGCAUGUGUUAUAGUGUUCCUUCUCUUGCAGCAACUAUUGUCGGAUAGCAUGUCCUUGUUGUAGCAUUCACUGAUAGAGCAGGCAACUAGUUACCAGUGUUUCGACUUCUUGUAUGGUCACCAGAGGUUUCCUGGUAGUAGUUCCCUAGUUUCUGGGCAAGAGAAUUUUCCAUGAGUUUAUCCCUGAGUUUAUCUAUGAAGGCUUCAAGAGCAGCGUAUGUGCUAAGUAACAUGUGUCUUCUUGGUUGUUUUGGUACACUUGCUGUCAAGCAGGCGCUGCUGGUCUGACGUUUUUCAUUUUGA
Molecule: RNA transcript, 4450 nt
Organism: Sorghum bicolor (sorghum)
Lineage: Eukaryota; Viridiplantae; Streptophyta; Magnoliopsida; Poales; Poaceae
Gene name: gametogenetin
Exons: 2
Source: RefSeq, a predicted model, not a curated record